RNAcentral lists this unclassified non-coding RNA (368 nucleotides) under Hevea brasiliensis (rubber tree). Lineage: Eukaryota; Viridiplantae; Streptophyta; Magnoliopsida; Malpighiales; Euphorbiaceae. The record is from RNAcentral.
AUCUGAUGACGAACAGCUCAAGGAGACCGCGAAUUGGACCCAGGUGAUGAUUGCAAGGGUUAUGGUUUCAUGAGAUGUAGGUAGAUAGAUCAGUCUGUGAGUAAAUUAGUUGUUUAUGCUGAUUUGUUUCUGGUUAGUUCAAAAUGGGACACUUCUUUUUAGCUCUUUUUCCAAUUAAGUCUCUGGUUAAAAAUUGUCAAGGGCCCAGAAAGAGAAUGAGGCCAUGCAUCCCUGUGUCUUUUGUAUUUGCGGAUGAGAAUCAUGAUGAUUUUCUUUUAGUGGACUCUGUAUGGGAUGGGAGAGAUUCUUGGUUAAGUGCUUUGUUGAACUCUGCCACUGAUCGGUGGUUUAUUAGGUCAUUUUAUUUA